UGAAAAAGACAAAAUAACCUCUUAACAAUUUAUGUUAAGGAUGAAUAGCUGUGUCUAAGUGGGUGAAUUCAAGCAGAACCAGCCGGUUAUUCUGUCUAAUGAAUCGUGUCUACACUGCUUUCAUUCCCACGCUGGAACCAUCUAUACACGGCUGAUUAGCCGUCCGGAGAAGACCCAUUCUCAGAACGAGGGCGGGGAAACAAACCACUAAGAGAAAGGGCACUGACAUCGUGUGGACAAUCAGAGACUUACACCUGGUAACGAAAGAAAUGCCGCCAUCAGAGGAGAAGAGACAGCCCAUCGGAGACCUUUGACAAGUAUCAGUUCCGGUGACUGACUCACAGCCUCAGGAAGCAACCUGGCGAUAUCCUGAACAUUUGCCCCAGGAAAACACGAAGUCUUUGCCCCAGGUACAGAUAUAUGCCUCACCAUUGAACUCCCUAUCACAAUUGCGGGAAUGAUCCGGUCUCUGCCAAGUAGAUUGCGAGGCCAGAGCCACAGAACUCACCUGAGAAGAGGGCUGCUGAGAAGCCGGUUGUGAGCAGGCCACAACAGCCAAAGGAAUAGAGCUCUGAUCCAGAGAGCACGGCCCAGCUGAGGGGGGCCGCGGUGGUCCAGGCUGUGCCCAGGCAGUUGAUUGACCAGGACAGGGAGAGUUCGCUGGAGGGGCAUCCACAGCCAAGCAGGGAAAACUCAAGCCCCUGGCAGAAAACCCGCUGGUACAGGGGCUCUAAGUGGUUUGAAAGUCUUAAGUCCGGUCGCGGGGUAAGAAGGCAUGCAUCUAUUUACGCUUACCUGGAGUCGAGACAAUGAGCAGCCAUUUUCUGGUUCAAGCUAGUAGAGGGGUGCAGUGGCAGAAACUGAUCAUAGUCCAGGAAGGUCCCAUUAUGAACCUCUUGGAUGUUUUGAUAGGAAGCAUUUAAAGAGGGAUACUAAGAGCCAUUGUAAUGUAUAAAUAAGACAAUACUGGUUUAUUGAACAGUUGUAACAGCUAUGUCAUUUGAGAGAAGAUAUUUUGUGCAUUUGUGAAACAUUCUAUUUUGUACAUUUAAAAAUAUUUUACCUUUAUUUAACUCGGCAAGUCAGUUAAGAACAUAUUCUUAUUUUCAAUGACAGCCCAGGAACAUUGGGUUAACUGCCUUGUUCAGAAUAACAGAUUUUUACCUUGUCAGCUCGGGGACUCGAUCUUGCAACCACUAGGCUACCUGCCGCCCCAUGUAAAUGGUUGAUGAUUUUAUAUGAAAAUCACUCAUUACAAAUGACUUGAAGCUGAA
Molecule: long non-coding RNA, 1274 nt
Organism: Oncorhynchus gorbuscha (pink salmon)
Lineage: Eukaryota; Metazoa; Chordata; Actinopteri; Salmoniformes; Salmonidae
Exons: 2
Source: RefSeq, a predicted model, not a curated record